RNAcentral lists this ribosomal RNA (497 nucleotides) under uncultured bacterium. RNAcentral's name for it is "partial 16S ribosomal RNA". It matches the Rfam family "Bacterial small subunit ribosomal RNA", at positions 28 to 507 of the family's 1533-position model. The record is from RNAcentral.
GAUGAACGCUGGCGGCGUGCCUAAUACAUGCAAGUCGAGCGAACAGACGCGGAGCUUGCUCCUCUGUCGUUAGCGGCGGACGGGUGAGUAACACGUGGAUAACCUACCUAUCAGACUGGGAUCACUUCGGGACACCGGCGCUUAUACCGGAUAAUAUAUUGAAGCGCAUGGUUCAAUAGUGAAAGUCGGUUUUGCUGUCACUUCUAGAUGCAUCCCCGCCGCAUUAGCUAGUUGGUAAGGUAACGGCUUACCAAGGCAACGAUGCGUAGCCGACUUGAGAGGGUGAUCGGCCACACUGGAACUGAGACACGGUCCAGACUCCUACGGGAGGCAGCAGUAGGGAAUCUUCCGCAAUGGGCGAAAGCCUGACGGAGCAACGCCGCGUGAGUGAUGAAGGUCUUCGGAUCGUAAAACUCUGUUAUUAGGGAAGAACAAAUGUGUAAGUAACUAUGCACGUCUUGACGGUACCUAAUCAGAAAGCCACGGCUAACUACGUG